AGUGAACGCUGGCGGUAGGCCUAACACAUGCAAGUCGAACGGCAGCACAGUAAGAGCUUGCUCUUACGGGUGGCGAGUGGCGGACGGGUGAGGAAUACAUCGGAAUCUACUUUUUCGUGGGGGAUAACGUAGGGAAACUUACGCUAAUACCGCAUACGACCUACGGGUGAAAGCAGGGGAUCUUCGGACCUUGCGCGAUUGAAUGAGCCGAUGUCGGAUUAGCUAGUUGGCGGGGUAAAGGCCCACCAAGGCGACGAUCCGUAGCUGGGCUGAGAGGAUGGGCGGCCGCACUGGAAGUGGGGCACGGUGCAGACUCCUGCGGGAGGGAGCAGUGGGGAAUAUUGGGCAAUGGGGGGAAGCCUGGUCCAGCCAUACCGCGUGGGUGAAGAAGGGCUUCGGGUUGUAAAGCCCUUUUGUUGGGAAAGAAAAGCAGCAGGUUAAUACCCCGCUGUUCUGACGGUACCCAAAGAAUAAGCACCGGCUAACUUCGUG
This 492-nucleotide ribosomal RNA is filed under the name uncultured bacterium. RNAcentral describes it as "partial 16S ribosomal RNA". It matches the Rfam family "Bacterial small subunit ribosomal RNA", at positions 30 to 507 of the family's 1533-position model. The record is from RNAcentral.